This is a long non-coding RNA of Lutra lutra (Eurasian river otter), 1162 nucleotides long. RefSeq lists it as uncharacterized. The record is from RefSeq and is a predicted model, not a curated record. NCBI's taxonomy places the organism in Eukaryota, Metazoa, Chordata, Mammalia, Carnivora, Mustelidae. The transcript has 3 exons.
CACAGAUUUUUACAAUUAAACACAUGGCCCUCUGACCAAACAGAGUAUUGCCUAAGGAGAGUUUGGCUGGUGUAAGACAGGCAUGUUACUGAAAGGCGGAUGCUCUUUCCUCCUCUUCUUUCUCAAGUUUUAUUAGUCACAGAUGAUUUGGUCCUGUUAUAGGAGCCGAGGAUACUGCCUGAACAGAAUGGAAGACUCUGUCUGUCUGUCUGAAUGGAAGUCUGUCUGUAGGCAGACAGACCUGAAAUAUAGAGGAGAUGCUGGUACCGUGGAGGACUAUAAACCAGGAAGGACCAUACAGACUGCUGCGUGGAGAAUAGACCCCACGGGGGUGAAGGUCGAAGCUUGAAGACACAGCAGCUGCCCAAGCAGGGUGGACUUGAGCGAGAGUCGUGGAGGUGAUAGAAGUGGUCAGAUUCUGUAUCUUGGUAUAGGUAGGAGAGAAACCAAUAUUCAGAAAGCCAGAUAUUCAGGAGGAGCCUUAUUUGGCAAGGGUAUCCACUACUUUUCCCCGACAAUAAAAAGUUCAUGGGGAGAUGAAUUAGUGAAGCCAUCAGUGGGGCCAAUUAGUUUCAUUCGUUUUGCAUUUUUUAUCUUCAGUGAGGUAAAUGUUCUAUUUGUUUGUGAAAUGAAAGUUUGAGCUCUUAGAGUUUACCCCUGUAGAACUUAGUUCUACCACCUUUAGUCCCAUUCCUGUCCCGUACAUAUUCCUAUUUCAAAAUUACAGACAGAUUUCUUUCCCGUCAAGUUCUUUAUUCAGCCUUCACCUAAAUAAACAUACAACCAAUUCAGCCUCUUCGUUCCUAACUGCAGUGCUGGUUGAAAUCAGAUAUGACACCUUUAGUCUCAGAAUCAUCUAGCAUCAGACCCCCUUCUCCUCCAUUAUCAUUAGCAUUCUUUGCAUUCUUUAAGAAAAAUAUUUCUGCAAACACUUGUUUGGUUUUAUACUUUCCUAGUUCAAUUUAGAUUUAGAAAGUUAUGUCUGUCAUACGAGCAAAUGUUUUUGCUUAGAAUAGAAAUAGAAGGACUAGUUAUAAAAGGUUUCUUUAAUGAUAGUAAGAAAAGCGAAACUUCCCAGGGUGAAAGCCACUUGGAGCCUGCCCAUGUGCCUUCUAAUCUUAGAGAACCUCCAGAGAAUUAUGGAAGUGUUUUCUUGGUAAAC